Molecule: ribosomal RNA, 1157 nt
Filed under: Pediococcus pentosaceus
Lineage: Bacteria; Bacillati; Bacillota; Bacilli; Lactobacillales; Lactobacillaceae
Description: bacterial SSU rRNA
Rfam family: Bacterial small subunit ribosomal RNA
Source: RNAcentral
ANUGCAGUCGAACGAACUUCCGUUAAUUGAUUAUGACGUACUUGUACUGAUUGAGAUUUUAACACGAAGUGAGUGGCGAACGGGUGAGUAACACGUGGGUAACCUGCCCAGAAGUAGGGGAUAACACCUGGAAACAGAUGCUAAUACCGUAUAACAGAGAAAACCGCAUGGUUUUCUUUUAAAAGAUGGCUCUGCUAUCACUUCUGGAUGGACCCGCGGCGUAUUAGCUAGUUGGUGAGGUAAAGGCUCACCAAGGCAGUGAUACGUAGCCGACCUGAGAGGGUAAUCGGCCACAUUGGGACUGAGACACGGCCCAGACUCCUACGGGAGGCAGCAGUAGGGAAUCUUCCACAAUGGACGCAAGUCUGAUGGAGCAACGCCGCGUGAGUGAAGAAGGGUUUCGGCUCGUAAAGCUCUGUUGUUAAAGAAGAACGUGGGUAAGAGUAACUGUUUACCCAGUGACGGUAUUUAACCAGAAAGCCACGGCUAACUACGUGCCAGCAGCCGCGGUAAUACGUAGGUGGCAAGCGUUAUCCGGAUUUAUUGGGCGUAAAGCGAGCGCAGGCGGUCUUUUAAGUCUAAUGUGAAAGCCUUCGGCUCAACCGAAGAAGUGCAUUGGAAACUGGGAGACUUGAGUGCAGAAGAGGACAGUGGAACUCCAUGUGUAGCGGUGAAAUGCGUAGAUAUAUGGAAGAACACCAGUGGCGAAGGCGGCUGUCUGGUCUGCAACUGACGCUGAGGCUCGAAAGCAUGGGUAGCGAACAGGAUUAGAUACCCUGGUAGUCCAUGCCGUAAACGAUGAUUACUAAGUGUUGGAGGGUUUCCGCCCUUCAGUGCUGCAGCUAACGCAUUAAGUAAUCCGCCUGGGGAGUACGACCGCAAGGUUGAAACUCAAAAGAAUUGACGGGGGCCCGCACAAGCGGUGGAGCAUGUGGUUUAAUUCGAAGCUACGCGAAGAACCUUACCAGGUCUUGACAUCUUCUGACAGUCUAAGAGAUUAGAGGUUCCCUUCGGGGACAGAAUGACAGGUGGUGCAUGGUUGUCGUCAGCUCGUGUCGUGAGAUGUUGGGUUAAGUCCCGCAACGAGCGCAACCCUUAUUACUAGUUGCCAGCAUUAAGUUGGGCACUCUAGUGARACUGCCGUGACAACCGGAGRA